UACGGGGGGAGCAAGCGUUGUUCGGAUUUACUGGGCGUAAAGGGCGCGUAGGCGGCGCAACAAGUCACUUGUGAAAUCUCCGGGCUUAACUCGGAAAGGUCAAGUGAUACUGUUGUGCUAGAGUGCGGAAGGGGCAACUGGAAUUCUCGGUGUGGCGGUGAAAUGCGUAGAUAUCGGGAGGAACACCUGUGGCGAAAGCGGCGCACUGGACCAUAACUGACGCUGAGGCGCGAAAGCUAGGGGAGCAAACAGG
Molecule: ribosomal RNA, 253 nt
Filed under: uncultured prokaryote
Description: partial 16S ribosomal RNA
Rfam family: Bacterial small subunit ribosomal RNA
Source: RNAcentral